UAAUCUCUUUUCUCAGCAGGGUUUUUUUUCUUAUAUUUCAUUUUUAUAGAAAAAACCACCAAACAAGCCAAUCAAAGGAAAUUCAUGCAUCUAUUUCAACUGGGGAGAAUGGGGAGACUAUGGAAAAUGUUCAAAAUCUUGCGGAAAUGAGUAUGAGGGCAAACGGGAAAGGAAACGAAAAUGUUUGAACGCUUGUACUAAUGAAGAAUCUGAUGCUAAAAAGUGUCCCGGAAAAGACUCCCAGGAUGCUAAUUGCACUCCUUGCCCAGCAGAUAAGUAUGGUUUCUGGGACCAGUGGAGUAAUUGGAAGCUUGAAGGAGAACCUGCUUGCAGCAAAGGUAAAACUGACCGAAAGAUUGUCAAAUACCGAACAAGAGAGUGUAUUGCUGAAGGAGACGUGAAGAUGUGUCCCCCCACCAAGGAUGGUUUAAAGGAGGGAACGGAUAGAGAAGAGAAGUUUAUGUAUAUCCCUGACUGCCAGAAGGAUCAGGAGUAUACACAGUACUUAUCCGGAUAUGAAGAAUAUUUAGAAUAGAAACAAGAAAUCUACGGAAAAUUGGAGAUUUAAAAAAUUUUAUGAAAAUAAUAUUGAAAUAAAAAUUUCUAGACUUAG
This is a long non-coding RNA of Eurytemora carolleeae, 613 nucleotides long. RefSeq lists it as uncharacterized. NCBI's taxonomy places the organism in Eukaryota, Metazoa, Arthropoda, Copepoda, Calanoida, Temoridae. The transcript has 6 exons. The record is from RefSeq and is a predicted model, not a curated record.